UACUCUGUGUGUCGAGUCGAUCGCGCCCACUGAUGUGGGCGCCAGGGAACUCCGGUGGAAAUCCGGGACUGGCGCGCAGCGGUGAAGGUGACGGGGCCGGCACGAGACCCACUGGGGAGACCCGGGAAGGGGCCGGUCCCGGGUGAUCCGAGUCCGAAGACCUGUCGGCUCGCCCGUCCGCUC
RNAcentral lists this non-coding RNA (183 nucleotides) under Propionibacterium acidifaciens. Lineage: Bacteria; Bacillati; Actinomycetota; Actinomycetes; Propionibacteriales; Propionibacteriaceae. The record is from RNAcentral.